RNAcentral lists this ribosomal RNA (305 nucleotides) under Escherichia coli. RNAcentral describes it as "partial 16S ribosomal RNA". It matches the Rfam family "Bacterial small subunit ribosomal RNA", at positions 1 to 302 of the family's 1533-position model. Lineage: Bacteria; Pseudomonadati; Pseudomonadota; Gammaproteobacteria; Enterobacterales; Enterobacteriaceae. The record is from RNAcentral.
AAAUUGAAGAGUUUGAUCAUGGCUCAGAUUGAACGCUGGCGGCAGGCCUAACACAUGCAAGUCGAACGGUAACAGGAAGAAGCUUGCUUCUUUGCUGACGAGUGGCGGACGGGUGAGUAAUGUCUGGGAAACUACCUGAUGGAGGGGGAUAACUACUGGAAACGGUAGCUAAUACCGCAUAACGUCGCAAGACCAAAGAGGGGGACCUUCGGGCCUCUUGCCAUCGGAUGUGCCCAGAUGGGAUUAGCUAGUAGGUGGGGUAACGGCUCACCUAGGCGACGAUCCCUAGCUGGUCUGAGAGGAUG